GGAUGGGUGUCCGAGUGGUUUAAGGAAUCGGUCUUGAAAACCGAAGAAGGUAUAUAAAAACCUUCCGUGGGUUCGAAUCCCACCCCAUCCGCCA
This 94-nucleotide transfer RNA is filed under the name Rhodospirillaceae bacterium. RNAcentral's name for it is "tRNA-Ser". It matches the Rfam family "tRNA". Rfam says of the family: Transfer RNA (tRNA) molecules are approximately 80 nucleotides in length. Their secondary structure includes four short double-helical elements and three loops (D, anti-codon, and T loops). Lineage: Bacteria; Pseudomonadati; Pseudomonadota; Alphaproteobacteria; Rhodospirillales; Rhodospirillaceae. The record is from RNAcentral.